RNAcentral lists this ribosomal RNA (301 nucleotides) under uncultured bacterium. RNAcentral describes it as "partial 16S ribosomal RNA". It matches the Rfam family "Bacterial small subunit ribosomal RNA", at positions 509 to 809 of the family's 1533-position model. The record is from RNAcentral.
CAGCAGCCGCGGGAAUACAGAGGGUGCGAGCGUUAAUCGGAUUUACUGGGCGUAAAGCGUGCGUAGGCGGCUAAUUGAGUCGGAUGUGAAAUCCCCGAGCUUAACUUGGGAAUUGCAUUCGAUACUGGUUAGCUAGAGUGUGGGAGAGGAUGGUAGAAUUCCAGGUGUAGCGGUGAAAUGCGUAGAGAUCUGGAGGAAUACCGAUGGCGAAGGCAGCCAUCUGGCCUAACACUGACGCUGAGGUACGAAAGCAUGGGGAGCAAACAGGAUUAGAUACCCCAGUAGUCCCUGUCUCUUAUAU